GUUUGCACUCAUCGGGGAAGGGUGAGAACCUUCGAUUAAGGUUCGAUUCGAGCGAAAGCGAGAGAACGUUGCCACAGGCAACGGCCCGAAGGGUGAGGAGCGAAGCGACGAAUAAUCCUUCCCCCACCACCA
Molecule: small RNA, 132 nt
Filed under: Escherichia coli
Lineage: Bacteria; Pseudomonadati; Pseudomonadota; Gammaproteobacteria; Enterobacterales; Enterobacteriaceae
Description: RtT sRNA
Rfam family: RtT RNA
About the family: This family represents a bacterial cis-regulatory element known as RtT RNA. The exact function of RtT is unknown although it is thought that it may be involved in changing the cellular response in relation to amino acid starvation.
Source: RNAcentral